CAAAAUGAGACUUUUUGCAUAACACUUGUGUACGUCUCAUCCUCAUAAGUACAAAUAUUGUUUAUCAAGUAUUUUCUGAAAUUACUAGCUUGUUUACUGUCGUGUUCUAGUACAUAUGGAAAUCGUGUUUGUCCUCCUGUAUCCUGAGAUGAAGAUGAAAGAAUUUCUGCACGCUUAUAAUGCAUAUCCGCAAAUAGCUCACCUAAUGGAUGCAUCACUUUCGCUCGACCCUUGAUGCUGACGUACCAAUAUUUCCUUAACCUUUGUUGACAUCGUACCGGGCGAUACAGAACAAAACGCUACUUUUUACACGGAGACAAACAACAAGCAACACACAAAAUUCGAUAUUAGCCUUCUUGGGGAAUAUGUAACAGAAGAAUUUAUGAAGUAAAACUACGCCGUAAAUAAAUAUAAAUAAAUAUAUUAACAAUCA
Folsomia candida is the source of this 433-nucleotide long non-coding RNA. RefSeq lists it as uncharacterized. NCBI's taxonomy places the organism in Eukaryota, Metazoa, Arthropoda, Collembola, Entomobryomorpha, Isotomidae. The record is from RefSeq and is a predicted model, not a curated record. The transcript is spliced from 3 exons.